UACGUAGGGCGCAAGCGUUAUCCGGAAUUAUUGGGCGUAAAGAGCUCGUAGGCGGUUUGUCGCGUCUGCCGUGAAAGUCCGGGGCUCAACUCCGGAUCUGCGGUGGGUACGGGCAGACUAGAGUGAUGUAGGGGAGACUGGAAUUCCUGGUGUAGCGGUGAAGUGCGCAGAGUAUCAGGAGGAACACCGAUGGCGAAGGCAGGUCUCUGGGCAUUAACUGACGCUGAGGAGCGAAAGCAUGGGGAGCGAACAGG
RNAcentral lists this ribosomal RNA (254 nucleotides) under uncultured bacterium. Its description in RNAcentral is "partial 16S ribosomal RNA". It matches the Rfam family "Bacterial small subunit ribosomal RNA", at positions 524 to 776 of the family's 1533-position model. The record is from RNAcentral.